AGUGAACGCUGGCGGUAGGCCUAACACAUGCAAGUCGAACGGCAGCACAGGAGAGCUUGCUCUCUGGGUGGCGAGUGGCGGACGGGUGAGGAAUACAUCGGAAUCUACUCUGUCGUGGGGGAUAACGUAGGGAAACUUACGCUAAUACCGCAUACGACCUACGGGUGAAAGCAGGGGACCUUCGGGCCUUGCGCGAUUGAAUGAGCCGAUGUCGGAUUAGCUAGUUGGCGGGGUAAAGGCCCACCAAGGCGACGAUGCGUAGCUGGUCUGAGGGGAUAAUCAGCCACACUGGAACUGAGACACGGUCCAGACUCCUACGGGAGGCAGCAGUGGGGAAUAUUGGACAAUGGGCGCAAGCCUGAUCCAGCCAUACCGCGUGGGUGAAGAAGGCCUUCGGGUUGUAAAGCCCUUUUGUUGGGAAAGAAAUCCAGCUGGCUAAUACCCGGUUGGGAUGACGGUACCCAAAGAAUAAGCACCGGCUAACUUCGUGCCAGCAGCCGCCGUAA
This 506-nucleotide ribosomal RNA is filed under the name uncultured bacterium. RNAcentral describes it as "partial 16S ribosomal RNA". It matches the Rfam family "Bacterial small subunit ribosomal RNA", at positions 29 to 523 of the family's 1533-position model. The record is from RNAcentral.